RNAcentral lists this non-coding RNA (24 nucleotides) under Arabidopsis thaliana (thale cress). The record is from RNAcentral. Lineage: Eukaryota; Viridiplantae; Streptophyta; Magnoliopsida; Brassicales; Brassicaceae.
AUAUGGACUUCGGCUAAUCCAUCA